This 276-nucleotide ribosomal RNA is filed under the name Salmonella enterica subsp. enterica. RNAcentral's name for it is "partial 16S ribosomal RNA". It matches the Rfam family "Bacterial small subunit ribosomal RNA", at positions 1 to 277 of the family's 1533-position model. Lineage: Bacteria; Pseudomonadati; Pseudomonadota; Gammaproteobacteria; Enterobacterales; Enterobacteriaceae. The record is from RNAcentral.
UGAAGAGUUUGAUCAUGGCUCAGAUUGAACGCUGGCGGCAGGCCUAACACAUGCAAGUCGAACGGUAACAGGAAGCAGCUUGCUGCUUCGCUGACGAGUGGCGGACGGGUGAGUAAUGUCUGGGAAACUGCCUGAUGGAGGGGGAUAACUACUGGAAACGGUGGCUAAUACCGCAUAACGUCGCAAGACCAAAGAGGGGGACCUUCGGGCCUCUUGCCAUCAGAUGUGCCCAGAUGGGAUUAGCUAGUUGGUGAGGUAACGGCUCACCAAGGCGAC